RNAcentral lists this long non-coding RNA (1134 nucleotides) under Dromaius novaehollandiae (emu). RNAcentral describes it as "lncRNA (ENSDNVG00000002014.1)". Lineage: Eukaryota; Metazoa; Chordata; Aves; Casuariiformes; Dromaiidae. The record is from RNAcentral.
GAGCCGCGGUAGCCGAGAGGGAAGGGAAGCGGUGUCCGAGUCGUAGUAAGUAACACCGGAGAGCACCGGGGCAGGUCGAUGCUCGCUGCGGGGCCGAACCCCGGCAGAAGCAUAAAGUGGCCUGGACCUGUCCCAAGGUAGCCAUCUGAAAGAACCUCUUCAAGUAGUAAAAGAUAUGCAAACUCUGGUAUCUGUUCCUGUGCCGAUUCGAUGAUAUGCACAUCUUUCCAAUGUGACUGAAAUGCAGAGCAUGCUGGUGAUACUAUCUCUGGAGAGACAUCUGAAGUUAUUAGUGUGGACAUCAAACAUCACCUUAAACUAUUUGGGGUUAAAAACAGGUGUGUCCUACAUUAGUCAAGAUUGUGAAGAAAUUCCAGAAUUCCUAGGAAGAAAAUAUGGACAUAUGGCAAAAAGGCUAGAUCUUAGCUUCAACUUGUUAAGAGAGGAGAGGGAGUUUCAGUCUCAGGGGGUUAGUUCUUUUCUUUCCAAGACUCAAGGACAGUGGAUGCAACAGCAAGAUCUUUUGGACAAUUCCAAAAACUAUCCUGAAGUCUACAAAAUUAUUCUUCGUAGUUCUAGUGAAAACCUGUUACUGGGUGAGAGAGAUCUGGGGCUGCAGAAGAGGAUUUUCAAGAAGUUUUCUGUCCUUGUUGUAACAUGGUGUGCUCACCCAUGCUUGAUCUGUUAAACAGAAGUUAUAUAGCUGAAUUUCACUCGCCCAUUUUUGAAAACUGUAGUAUAUAGGUAGUCCAUUUGAAAUGGAUCUGUGUUUGACAGGUUGUAGUUCUGUCCUUUGGCAGGCUGUUUUCAUUUUUCCUCCCCCUUAUUUUGUUUGCAUAUUUUGUUUUUGUUGCAUUAUGCUAUUUAAUAUUUAUCUUCUUUUUCAUUAAUCAAAAAAUACUAAUCUCAUCAAUAUGUGUUUCAUGUAUUAGCCUACUCCUAUGGUUCGACAAGUAAUGGGAAUUUAUUAAAUACAUGAAUUCAAGAGAAGUUUUGAAUCAUCUUGGAUAUCUGUCUCUGAAAUUCCUGUCAGCAUGUAAUGAGAAAAGUGUUUUGGGAUAUAUAAGCUCUGAGUUAGGUUGGAAAUACGUAUUGUUGAAUAAAUUGUGUCUACUGUUUGAAGUGGGAGGAAUA